Molecule: ribosomal RNA, 407 nt
Filed under: uncultured bacterium
Lineage: Bacteria
Description: partial 16S ribosomal RNA
Rfam family: Bacterial small subunit ribosomal RNA
Source: RNAcentral
GACGAACGCUGGCGGCGUGCCUAAUACAUGCAAGUAGAACGCAGUUGCGAACGGGUGAGUAACGCGUAGGUAACUGCCUCAUAGCGGGGGAUAACUAUUGGAAACGAUAGCUAAUACCGCAUACUGUGAGAUGGACCUGCGUUGUAUUAGCUAGUUGGUGAGGUAAAGGCUCACCAAGGCGACGAUACAUAGCCGACCUGAGAGGGUGAUCGGCGAGACUGAGACUGAGACGAGGCCCAGAAUCAUACGGGAGGAAGCAGUAGGGAAACUUCGGGAAUGAACGGAAGUGUGAGCGAGCGACGCGGCGUGAGUGAAGAAGGUUAUCGGAUCGUAAAGGUAGGUUGAUAGAGAGGCGGUAAAUAGCCAGAAAGGGACGGCUAACAACGUGACAGCCGCCGCGGUAAUAC